UACGGAGGGUGCGAGCGUUAAUCGGAAUUACUGGGCGUAAAGGGUGCGUAGGUGGUUUGAUAAGUUAUCUGUAAAAGCCCUGGGCUCAACCUAGGAAUGCCAGAUAAAACUGUUAGACUCGAGUAUGGGAGAGGGUAGUGGAAUUUCCGGUGUAGCGGUGAAAUGCGUAGAGAUCGGAAGGAACACCAGUGGCGAAGGCGGCUACCUGGCCUGAUACUGACACUGAGGCACGAAAGCGUGGGGAGCAAACAGGAUUAGAUA
RNAcentral lists this ribosomal RNA (261 nucleotides) under uncultured bacterium. RNAcentral describes it as "partial 16S ribosomal RNA". It matches the Rfam family "Bacterial small subunit ribosomal RNA", at positions 524 to 784 of the family's 1533-position model. The record is from RNAcentral.